RNAcentral lists this ribosomal RNA (509 nucleotides) under uncultured bacterium. RNAcentral describes it as "partial 16S ribosomal RNA". It matches the Rfam family "Bacterial small subunit ribosomal RNA", at positions 29 to 507 of the family's 1533-position model. The record is from RNAcentral.
ACGAACGCUGGCGGCGUGCUUAACCCAUGCAGGUCGAACGAAGAGCGAUGGAAGCUUGCUUCUAUCAAUCUUAGUGGCGAACGGGUGAGUAACGCGUAAUCAACCUGCCCUUCAGAGGGGGACAACAGUUGGAAACGACUGCUAAUACCGCAUACGAUCUAAUCUCGGCAUCGAGGAUAGAUGAAAGGUGGCCUCUACAUGUAAGCUAUCACUGAAGGAGGGGAUUGCGUCUGAUUAGCUAGUUGGAGGGGUAACGGCCCACCAAGGCGAUGAUCAGUAGCCGGUCUGAAGGGAUGGACGGCCACAUUGGGACUGAGACACGGCCCAGACUCCUACGGGAGGCAGCAGUGGGGAAUCUUCCGCAAUGGACGGAAGUCUGACGGAGCAACGCCGCGUGAGUGAUGACGGCCUUCGGGUUGUAAAGCUCUGUUAAUCGGGACGAAAGGCCUUCUUGCGAACAGUUAGAAGGAUUGACGGUACCGGAAUAGAAAGCCACGGCUAACUACGUG